Molecule: ribosomal RNA, 254 nt
Filed under: uncultured bacterium
Lineage: Bacteria
Description: partial 16S ribosomal RNA
Rfam family: Bacterial small subunit ribosomal RNA
Source: RNAcentral
UACGGGGGGAGCAAGCGUUGUUCGGAUUUACUGGGCGUAAAGGGCGCGUAGGCGGUCAGCACAAGUCAAUUGUGAAAUCUCCGAGCUUAACUCGGAAAGGUCAACUGAAACUGUGCGACUAGAGUGCGGAAGGGGCAACUGGAAUUCUUGGUGUAGCGGUGAAAUGCGUAGAUAUCAAGAGGAACACCUGCGGCGAAGGCGGGUUGCUGGGCCGACACUGACGCUGAAGCGCGAAAGCUAGGGGAGCAAACAGG